RNAcentral lists this ribosomal RNA (253 nucleotides) under uncultured bacterium. RNAcentral describes it as "partial 16S ribosomal RNA". It matches the Rfam family "Bacterial small subunit ribosomal RNA", at positions 524 to 776 of the family's 1533-position model. The record is from RNAcentral.
UACGUAGGGUCCGAGCGUUGUCCGGAAUUACUGGGCGUAAAGAGCUCGUAGGUGGUUUGUCGCGUUGUUCGUGAAAACUCACAGCUCAACUGUGGGCGUGCGGGCGAUACGGGCAGACUUGAGUACUGCAGGGGAGACUGGAAUUCCUGGUGUAGCGGUGGAAUGCGCAGAUAUCAGGAGGAACACCGGUGGCGAAGGCGGUUCUCUGGGCAUGAUCUGACGCUGAGGAGCGAAAGUGUGGGGAGCGAACAGG